RNAcentral lists this transfer RNA (67 nucleotides) under Triticum aestivum (bread wheat). It matches the Rfam family "tRNA". Rfam says of the family: Transfer RNA (tRNA) molecules are approximately 80 nucleotides in length. Their secondary structure includes four short double-helical elements and three loops (D, anti-codon, and T loops). Further hydrogen bonds mediate the characteristic L-shaped molecular structure. tRNAs have two regions of fundamental functional importance: the anti-codon, which is responsible for specific mRNA codon recognition, and the 3' end, to which the tRNAs corresponding amino acid is attached (by aminoacyl-tRNA synthetases). tRNAs cope with the degeneracy of the genetic code in two manners: having more than one tRNA (with a specific anti-codon) for a particular amino acid; and 'wobble' base-pairing, i.e. permitting non-standard base-pairing at the 3rd anti-codon position. Lineage: Eukaryota; Viridiplantae; Streptophyta; Magnoliopsida; Poales; Poaceae. The record is from Rfam by way of RNAcentral.
GACCGCGUGGCCUAAUGGAUAAGGCGCUCGCCUCCGGAGCGGGAGAUUCUGGGUCCCAGCGUGGUCG